CCUCGGGACGCAGCAGUGAGGAAUAUUGGUCAAUGGUCGGGAGACUGAACCAGCCAAGCCGCGUGAGGGAUGAAGGUACAGAGUAUCGUAAACCUCUUUUGUCAGGGAACAAAGGCGGGGACGCGUCCCCGGAUGAGUGUACCUGAAGAAAAAGCAUCGGCUAACUCCGUGCCAGCAGCCGCGGUAAUACGGAGGAUGCGAGCGUUAUCCGGAUUUACUGGGUUUAAAGGGUGCGCAGGCGGGCUGUUAAGUCAGCGGUCAAAGCCCGGGGCUCAACCCCGGCCCGCCGGUGAAACUGGCAGGCC
Molecule: ribosomal RNA, 305 nt
Filed under: uncultured bacterium
Lineage: Bacteria
Description: bacterial SSU rRNA
Rfam family: Bacterial small subunit ribosomal RNA
Source: RNAcentral